Long non-coding RNA from Chinchilla lanigera (long-tailed chinchilla), 1495 nucleotides. RefSeq lists it as uncharacterized. Lineage: Eukaryota; Metazoa; Chordata; Mammalia; Rodentia; Chinchillidae. The record is from RefSeq and is a predicted model, not a curated record. The transcript is spliced from 5 exons.
GGAGGCAGCCGGAACCUUGGUAUUAAUUGAUUGAGGAAAAUGUUGAGGGGAUUAUUGGAUGACUCACAGGGAGGUGGUGAUCUUAAGAUGGAGCUGUUUCCCUAGGGUAUUUUCCAAGAAAUUCACAUGUAAAUCCAGGCAGUGAAGCGGGGCUUCUUUCAGUAAGAUCUGAAAUGUCAAAACAGGAGCAGCUGUUCUCCAUCACAUGCUUCUGCCACAAUGUGCUGCCUCAGCAUAAGUUCAAAGCCAAUGGAGCCAAGUGAUUACAAGUUCAAAGCCAGUGGAGCCAACUGAUUAAGGACUGGAACCUACAAAACUGUCUUGCUGUGUGUUCCAUUUUCUCUCCAAAUGUCAGAGGGGAAUGGAAAAUUGGAGUGCCGUAAAACACUUGGAGACUUCAUUUAUUACACAUUAAUUAUAAAAUCAAAGGGAAAUAAGGAGGAGUUCUUCUGUUUUCAAACCCUGGGAAACUAGUGUGGAGCAGAGCAAACUGAGCAGAUACUAAGGGGUUGACUUUCUCUGCAUGGAAAAGAAUAAACUUCACACAAGCAGGACUGAAGUGUAUGACAUUGAGUGUUGUGAAGAACACAUAAGGAUAAUGUAAAAGAAAAAGUUUAACAAAAUACAAGCAUUGACAUUCUUAAGCCCUCAAGAGAACUGAGGCUGAAGGCAAGCUCUCACCCUGUUAUCCAGAGAAAUAGAUGAAUGUAGAAGUUACCACCUGAUGUAUGCUUACCUGGAACAGAAGACACUACAGCCAAAUGAUGUUUGGCUUUCAUAAUAGCUCUGAUAAGUUUCUGGAAUCUGAGUGCCCACUACUGGAAGAAUGAAAAACUCUUAGAUACCCAAUUUUGAGGAAGAUUUUUGACAGUUCUGUGGGUUUUUACCUCUAGAAACUCUACCACAUUUUCAUGGUAAGAUCUGAGAAAAGACCCAUUAUAGCUGUGAUAGGGGAGGGGGAAAAGUAAUCAUCAUGAAAUAUAUUUAGUAUAACAAAAGGCUGUUGUCCAGAAACACUUACCAGAUAUUAACCACACCUAGGGAAGGGCAUCCCUCUCUCUCCAGCAUCCUCUAAUCCUAUCUUCCCUGAGUUAGUCAGAAAGGGGAGAAAUUAUGGUACUGGAUCAAUCUUUGUGAAGGUCAUAUCCUAGGAACACAAGCUCAUGAAAGAUUAAAAUGUAAUCAUAAGACCUCAGAAUAAUUUUCUUUUACAAUAUCUCACCACCAUGUUAGGAGGGCCCAGUGUAAUAAUAGAUUUCAGCUGAAAGAGCUUCAAGAUAGUUUCUCCAAAUAGGAAUACUAGGGAAGCUCUUAAAUCAAGAGAAGACAAAAAUCAUACCUGUGUAAUUUGAAGCCUCUGGAAUGUAACAACUUCAAGAAGCACUGAACAGAGCCUGAGUCCCAGCAAGGUUUCUAUACAUUUACCUCAUUUCCUUAAUCCAUUAAAUAUCUCUAGUUUCCUAUGAAAAAUCAUAAGGCAAGAAAAUACACACUG